Molecule: transfer RNA, 68 nt
Filed under: Marmota monax (woodchuck)
Lineage: Eukaryota; Metazoa; Chordata; Mammalia; Rodentia; Sciuridae
Description: tRNA.Ala
Source: RNAcentral
GGCUUGUGACUCAGAGGUAGAGCACUCGCCUAGCAUGUGUGAGGCACUGGGUUCAAUCCUCAGCACCA